RNAcentral lists this ribosomal RNA (478 nucleotides) under uncultured bacterium. RNAcentral describes it as "bacterial SSU rRNA". It matches the Rfam family "Bacterial small subunit ribosomal RNA", at positions 30 to 502 of the family's 1533-position model. The record is from RNAcentral.
AUUGAACGCUGGCGGCAUGCCUUACACAUGCAAGUCGAACGGCAGCACGGGAGCAAUCCUGGUGGCGAGUGGCGAACGGGUGAGUAAUAUAUCGGAACGUGCCCAGUCGUGGGGGAUAACGUAGCGAAAGCUACGCUAAUACCGCAUACGAUCUAUGGAUGAAAGCGGGGGAUCGCAAGACCUCGCGCGAUUGGAGCGGCCGAUAUCAGAUUAGGUAGUUGGUGAGGUAAAGGCUCACCAAGCCGACGAUCUGUAGCUGGUCUGAGAGGACGACCAGCCACACUGGAACUGAGACACGGUCCAGACUCCUACGGGAGGCAGCAGUGGGGAAUUUUGGACAAUGGACGCAAGUCUGAUCCAGCCAUUCCGCGUGCAGGAUGAAGGCCCUCGGGUCGUAAACUGCUUUUGUACGGAACGAAAGGUUUCUCUUAAUACGAGGAGCUCAUGACGGUACCGUAAGAAUAAGCACCGGCUAACU